UGCGAAGGGGGCUAGCGUUGCUCGGAAUCACUGGGCGUAAAGCGCGCGUAGGCGGCUUUCUAAGUCAGGGGUGAAAUCCUGGAGCUCAACUCCAGAACUGCCUUUGAUACUGGAGAGCUUGAGUCCGGAAGAGGUGAGUGGAACUCCGAGUGUAGAGGUGAAAUUCGUAGAUAUUCGGAAGAACACCAGUGGCGAAGGCGGCUCACUGGUCCGGUACUGACGCUGAGGUGCGAAAGCGUGGGGAGCAAACAGG
This 253-nucleotide ribosomal RNA is filed under the name uncultured bacterium. RNAcentral's name for it is "partial 16S ribosomal RNA". It matches the Rfam family "Bacterial small subunit ribosomal RNA", at positions 524 to 776 of the family's 1533-position model. The record is from RNAcentral.